This 119-nucleotide ribosomal RNA is filed under the name Vigna angularis (adzuki bean). The record is from RNAcentral. Lineage: Eukaryota; Viridiplantae; Streptophyta; Magnoliopsida; Fabales; Fabaceae.
AGGUGCGAUCAUACCAGCACUAAUGCACCGGAUUCCAUCAGAACGCCGCAAUUAAGCGUGCUUGGGCGAGAGUAGUACAAGGAUGGGUGACCUCCUGGGAAGUCCUCGUGUUGCACCUC